UAGACCUACGGGGGGCAGCAGUGGGGGAUAUUGCACAAUGGGGGAAACCCUGAUGCAGCGACGCCGCGUGAGUGAAGAAGUAUUUCGGUAUGUAAAGCUCUAUCAGCAGGGACGAAAAUGACGGUACCUGAGUAAGAAGCCCCGGCUAACUACGUGCCAGCAGCCGCGGUAAUACGUAGGGGGCAAGCGUUAUCCGGAUUUACUGGGUGUAAAGGGAGCGUAGACGGUUAUGCAAGUCUGGAGUGAAAGGCGGGGGCUCAACCCCCGGACUGCUCUGGAAACUGUAGAACUAGAGUGCAGGAGGG
Molecule: ribosomal RNA, 305 nt
Filed under: uncultured bacterium
Lineage: Bacteria
Description: partial 16S ribosomal RNA
Rfam family: Bacterial small subunit ribosomal RNA
Source: RNAcentral